AAUAUCAACAUUAAUUUUUACUACUUACUAGUUGUUUGAAUUUCACUAUGAGAUGAACUUUAUCGUGCCACUUCAAGGCGUUUGUUCUUGAGACCUGGUUGAAAGGGAAUUCAGAUUCUAGGUUCUCAGUUCUCACGUGUUCUUGCAAGUUGCAUUUUUUUGUUUUGGAAUAAAUUCGGAACUGUUGGCUAAUCUCUGUCGAAUCUCCUCUUCCUCCCUUGCACAAUCUGAUAUUAUUUAUUUUUAACUCAUUUCUACUUCAACUGCAAACAACUCAUCGAUUUGAUUAGCAAUAAAGGAUCACCAUAUCAUGAGUUAAUUAGUUAAGCAAAGCACCUGCAUAUAUCACUUUUGGUGUUAAUAGAUACAGUACCUGCCUUGCGUUCAGAUUAAUUUGGACAAGACAAGAAAAUCUGGGGCCAUCAAACAGAACCUUUUGUUCAUGUUAAUAAUACUACUUAACCAUGAUGUGAUACUAGCAAUGAUGGCAAGCAGAUGGUGAGUUUGGUGACCUUGCAUGAACAAUUAAUCAGUGGACAGGCCACUUAAUUGGAAGAGAGGAUCUUGUUCCUCAAGCACAAACCAUGGACCACUCCUUAAUAGAACUCAGAGAUGAUUAAUACUAAUUAUUUGUUUGCUUUUAUAGUUGGUUGGUAGUUUGUGCAGUUGGGCAGAACUCUGCUUAUUCCAGCCUAUCAGAACUGACCACUCAAACAUGAGCCUCUUGUUCCAAAGAAAAAGCCAAGUAGAUUAUCCAGUCAGAUACUAGGACCAAUGAGCAGAAAAAACAGAGAAUUUUUCUGAAGAGCAUAGAAACAAAGCACUAAUUUUUCAUAAUUUGACAAAAAAAAAUUACAUCACUUGCUGACAUCUGGGUCCCUCCAGUUCAGAUGAUAGUACAUCACCUGUAUGGAGUAUGGAAAAAUGUGGCCUUUCUUUUCCUGGCCUAUAAAUGGUAUCCACUACUUCCAAUCCUGCAAGCAACAAGAGAGGACAGGAGAAGAAAACCUUGGCCCUUGAAUAGUUGUGUUCUUCUCUGAAACCUUUUUAGAGAGGUGAGUGCUUGUUCAUCAGAAGCAGAGAGACAAGAUGUAUAACGCUCCAAUGGCACAGGACAUGUCCUACUAUGAACAUGUGCAGAGGCGCCAUGAGGAGAAGGGUUGCCUCUAUGCAUGCAUCUUCACUGCACUGUGCUGCUUCUGCUGCUACGAGACCUGCGAGUGCUGCCUCGACUGCCUCUGCUGCUGCUGCAACUAGGCUGCCAUAUCAAGCCAUAGCAAGAACAUGAUCAAGAUGAGGAUGGAGAUCGCCUCCAUCUCUCUUACCCCUGAGAUUUCAUAAUUUAUCAGCCCGUUGUCAUCAUGUAAAAUUAAUAAACAUGUAGUAGAUGGAAACUUUGUCAGAAUCGAGCAUUUGUGUUCUGAAAAAGAGGACUAUUGUAAGAAACCCAGAAUACUGUUAUCUGAAGUGCUUUCUAUGCGUGUGAAA
Oryza sativa Japonica Group (Japanese rice) is the source of this 1488-nucleotide non-coding RNA. The record is from RefSeq and is a predicted model, not a curated record. NCBI's taxonomy places the organism in Eukaryota, Viridiplantae, Streptophyta, Magnoliopsida, Poales, Poaceae.